This 438-nucleotide long non-coding RNA is filed under the name Cyanistes caeruleus (blue tit). RNAcentral's name for it is "lncRNA (ENSCCEG00000011400.1)". The record is from RNAcentral. Lineage: Eukaryota; Metazoa; Chordata; Aves; Passeriformes; Paridae.
AUGUGCCCCAAACAAGACCGUGGUGGUAGUUAUGUCCAGACUCCAUUACCUGAAAAGCAGCGAGGAGCAAAAGUGUCUUGUGCUAGACAGCAAAAUAGGAUGGGGGGUAAUGCAACCCUGAUAAUUUUCCUGGGAUUUGCCAUCUAUCUGAUGAGUUUGUUCCCAGCCACUUACUGCUCAGAAGUUUUUCCUCUGAAAAUCCAGAGCAUGAUUCGCACUACUGAGGAUGAACAGGAAGAGGGAAACAGUCCAACAGCAGACUGGGAGGAAAUGGAGGAGUCAUUUGUGGCCUCAUCAAUAGGGGAAGGAAUGGAGGUGAUUGAUAUGGUGGAGCCUGAGGGCUCAGAGACACUGAGCAAUUCAGCAGUGAAGGAUUUGCUCUUGGAUCUGGCUCUUCUCCUCAAGAUUGGUUGUUUUUUGUUGCUUUUUUUUCUUUAA